Molecule: unclassified non-coding RNA, 296 nt
Filed under: Hevea brasiliensis (rubber tree)
Lineage: Eukaryota; Viridiplantae; Streptophyta; Magnoliopsida; Malpighiales; Euphorbiaceae
Source: RNAcentral
AAGCGAGGAGGGCUGUGGAGGAAGGUGGUUCUUCCUACAAUGAAAUGAGCCGGAUGAUCCAAGAUUUGGUCGAAGCGAAGGCAGCUAGCGUGGGGUCUCAGACUUCUGCUGACAAAAAAAUGAUUGGAACCAGGGCAUAACAGGGUAAUUUGUUGCUUCUAAUAAUGUUUGUAUGCAAAAUCAUUCAAACAUUUAGAAAAAGGUCACAUUCGUUCUCUAAUAUAUGUUGUAAUGAUAAAAUGAGACAUAAAAUUCUUUGUAUCACUAUGCACAUUGAUCAGGUGAGUAAUUUUGCA